This 497-nucleotide ribosomal RNA is filed under the name uncultured bacterium. RNAcentral describes it as "partial 16S ribosomal RNA". It matches the Rfam family "Bacterial small subunit ribosomal RNA", at positions 28 to 507 of the family's 1533-position model. The record is from RNAcentral.
GAUGAACGCUGGCGGCGUGCCUAAUACAUGCAAGUCGAGCGAACAGACGAGGAGCUUGCUCCUCUGACGUUAGCGGCGGACGGGUGAGUAACACGUGGAUAACCUACCUAUAAGACUGGGAUAACUUCGGGAAACCGGGGCUAAUACCGGAUAAUAUAUUGAACCGCAUGGUUCAAUAGUGAAAGACGGUUUUGCUGUCACUUAUAGAUGUAUCCGCGCCGCAUUAGCUAGUUGGUAAGGUAACGGCUUACCAAGGCAACGAUGCGUAGCCGACCUGAGAGGGUGAUCGGCCACACUGGAACUGAGACACGGUCCAGACUCCUACGGGAGGCAGCAGUAGGGAAUCUUCCGCAAUGGGCGAAAGCCUGACGGAGCAACGCCGCGUGAGUGAUGAAGGUCUUCGGAUCGUAAAACUCUGUUAUUAGGGAAGAACAAAUGUGUAAGUAACUAUGCACGUCUUGACAGUACCUAAUCAGAAAGCCACGGCUAACUACGUG